RNAcentral lists this long non-coding RNA (6017 nucleotides) under Phaseolus vulgaris (common bean). RNAcentral's name for it is "long non-coding RNA (PVUL_LNC001819)". The record is from RNAcentral. Lineage: Eukaryota; Viridiplantae; Streptophyta; Magnoliopsida; Fabales; Fabaceae.
UAAUUCAAAAAUCAAUAACUGUUAAUUUAUUUCAACAGAACUUUAGAAGACCACAAACCACAUAAAUUGAUUAGGGUGUAUUUGUUUCAGUUGAAACAAUUGGCUUGAAUAUAUAUUGUCUUACAUGGUCUAUAAAAAUAGCUUAGGAAAAGAAAAGGACACUCAUAAACAAAAGUCUAAACUGGAUUCAGUGGAUUACUGUGCUAGUUAUUGCAAACUCCCAAGUACCCAAGUUCCCCUCCCUUAUGACUUCAUCAAAGAAAAUUCUUCAAAUGUGCAUUCCAUGAACCUGGUUAGACAUCUUACAUAGUUUAGGUUGGAUUGUACAAAGAACCAUUGGAUCUCAUUUCUCAGCUAAUGUUUAUUGGUUUUUGGUUUGAGUGACAGAUGACAUGAUUCUCUUCAAAUCUAACUCUGCUAAAUUCUGAAAUGAAUCGAAUUCAAAGUAGCUUUUGAAUACUAUAAAAAUUAUCAAAGAAAUGAUCCACAGUAAAUUAUUCCCCACAGAAGCAAGCACAAAAAGAAAAGGAAAACAAAACUUUGAUUACCAUUAUGAUAACUUUCUCAAUAGUUGGCAUCGACUAUCAAUGGAACAAAUCUUUUUUUUGUUCCAAAAAUUAAUUAUUAUGUUGUAAAUCAUGUAAAUUUUUAGAAAAUAAUUUAUAUGCAUAAUAUGUACCAACCUAGAGGGAAACAUCUAUCCUAUUUGAUAGCUUAAAUUAGCUUUCAUAUUAUGAUAUUCUUUCAUUUAGGUAUUGGCUGAGAAGAAUAAACAUAAAUGUAGAGUUCCACUAUUUUAGGAUGAUUGAUCCGUGAAAUGAAAAAGAAGAGAUAGGAAAAAAGAAGGUAGAAAUAAGAUGAAAGAGAAUUGGAAUGAAAAAAUCCCUUAUUCUAUGCUAUAAUUUUAACGGUGUCACCAUUUCUGAAACACCAAUCAUUGUCAUACAUACAUACAUACCAACUUUACCUUCAUUCUCAAUUUUCACACGUAAAAUUAACAGCUGCAAAUGCAAAAACACACACAACUGACACCAUUGCAUGUUACAACCAUAUAUUCAUUCUGCUUUAGUACGAUCUGAAUUUGCAAACAGUGAACCUGAAAGCAAUCACCAGAUAGACAACUAAUCAAAAGAAUAACUUGGUAGUAAAAAAGACAAUGCCACCACUUUUGAGAGGAAUUAAUAAUUUAAUUUCAACACACUGAUCUUCAUCCUAUAUCAACUAGUUAGACAUUAUAUUUUAAACAACUUUUUGAAAGUAACUGUUAUAAAAGUUAACAACUUUUAAUUUUACAGUAAACAAAGAUCAAAUCACAUGCAGUGUAAAACAUGUCCCUCACUGAUCAUCACUGUUAACAUAUUAUAAUUUAGUUGUGAAUGAUGUUCAUUAGCCAUUUGUGCACCAGACAGCACAAGCUGGCUUGGAAGAAAAAACUUAUGAGGGAAUGAAGAAGUGAAUUGAAUGUGUAGGUUGAGAGUUGAGACAUGUCGAAGAUAAUAUAUUUAUCUUACUUUUCUUUGGUUUUUGUGCCUCAUUUGUUUGUUUGUGGAAAUUGUUAAACAUGUUAUCAUGUGCUCAUCACAGAAUGUUAAACACGGUUAAUAGUAUUAAAGUGAAGGUACCAAAGAAUUACUGUUUGUGUAAGAAAAGUGGAGUGAAAGAAGAGAGAGGUGUACGGUGAAAAGGAAGAAAAGAAAAGGAACCUUGUUGUCUGUAGGUCCAUUUUAGCCUACAUACUUGCGUGCCAUUUUGGGAGCUGUUUUAGCACAGUAACUUUUGUCUCCCUUUUACUUUUUUUUUCUUUCUGUAGGGAAGAUAAAUACUCUUUUUCAACUUUUAUUACUUCUAAUUACUCUAUUUUUUUAGAUAAAAGUUUAGGUGAGAUUAGUAUCAGAUACUCAUAAACAGAGAAAACUUUAAAAACUUCUGCAGAACUAUGUAUAAACUACUCACCAAUAAAGUUUUCACAUAAACAAGGUGAAUCAAUUUUAUGUCUUUGUAAGUAUGAGUUUGUUUCUUACCAACUACUAAUAUAUAGUAUGUUUUAACAUGUAAAUACACUAUUUUUUCCUUUUCAUAGAUGUUUGUAGUGUUUUUUUUAUUAUAGAAAACUAUGAUGUUUAUUUUCAAGAGAUUAAUAUGUUCAUUUUGUCAUGUAAAUGAGCAUGUCACCACUAAUUUAUCUCGUUUUUAACUAAGCUUUGAUGAAGGCCAGUUCUGAACACCUGUUAUUAUUCUUUAGAUUUCAUAAAAUAAAGAGUUUGAUUUGAAUAAUAAAGUUCUAAAUACUGAUAGUGAAAGUGUUCAGAUUUUCAUUUUUUCCAAGUGUUAGAGUCAAUAGUAUAAUAAGAUGCUCAAAACUAUUUUCACUGGCACUAAAACUCAGAUAGACGAAAAAUAUCCUGAAAGUUUUAUUUUGUAACCACUCAUUAUUACUAAAAGGUUCUGAACAUAAAAACAUAUAUAGGAUAUUUUCAAACUUAGUAAAGAGGUAUAUAACUAGAAGGACCAUAUAAAUAAAUGAUUAGAAGAACUAAUAUUUUUAACUCAAAAGAAACUUAAAUUAAUUAACACAAUAUGGAUCAAUAAAUGCAUAUAUUAUGGGUAGAGAUUACAUGAUUUAAACCAAUAGAAUUUGAGUUUAUGAAAAGGAUUGUGAAACAAAGAGUUUUGUUGUUCUAGCUCAAGGUAAAUGGACUUGAAUUAAUCUAAACAAAAGAUUACUGCAGUAAUGGUAACUUUUUUAAAGGAAAAUUUAUGUUAAGAUUAAUUUCAUAAUCAGUAUCAUUGCUCCCACACAUGUAGGGAUGUGCCCAUUUUUAACAUGGUAACUUUUUAAGGUUUUAUGGGUUAGUGCAAAAAAAAAAUGUUCAUCAAUUAAAAGCUGUCGUUAUAGUAUGACUUCAAAGUUAUUAUGGUAAAAAAAUUCUGACUUACCUUGACCUUUUUUUAUGGAAUAUCAAUCUAUAGACUUUCUAAUGGAAGAGUUUUUAGAACUUCUUUAAUGAGAAAAAAAAAACUCUACUUUGAAUAGAAAAAGUCUGAAAAGCUGAUCUCAUCUCAUCUAGUCUGUAUCCAAAGAGGCCUUAACACUGAAAUCUAUAAUAGGUUUAAAGGGCAACACAUUAUAACAUUAAUCCCCCCCUAUCCAAACCAGCCAAUCUCCAAUGUGUUGUUAAUCAAAAUAGAAGCUAGAAACAGCUACCUUAACUAAAUAAUCAGGGUAUAUUUCGUUAAGUGUAUCAAAUAAGACAUAAUUACACAACUGUGAAAACACAUACAAUAUGUUUAAUGAGUAGUUGCAUGACAAGAUUUCCAGAUCCAGAAAGCUGGCUGUGUUCUUUCCAACAUAUUGGUUUUGUCCAAGAAUGAACUAAUUAAAGUGUUAUGAUAUUACCAUGAUCAAUUUCAUCCACCAGCUUGUCUCUCCAUAUAUAGCUCUUGACAGUGAUAUAAACAGAUUACUAUAGUUUUAAGCACAAGCACUUACACCCUCAUUAAUUAGACUCAAUGAUAAUUUUCUAUAUAUAUGCAUCUACAGAGGUCUUCUCAUGCAAAAAAGUCGACAUGGAUUAAAAGCCACUGUACGGCAUGGGAAUUGGCACAACAAUUAAGAAAUUCCUCUCUUGCUUCAGUCAAAAUUGAUUUCAUUUUCAUUUUUGUUCUCAAAUAUAUAUUCCUUACUCAUUAAUUCAGCAAAAUCCAUGGAUAUAAAUAAAUGGAUCUCAUCCUUGGAAGUCCCAUAGUCCAUAUCAUGACGAACAGAAUCUCAGAAGUGUUCAGUUCUUGAGCUACCUCACAGUAAAAGCACUAACAACGUGUUUAAUGUUUCUUUCAUCUCUUAAUUGGAAACCGAUGCUUUUGCAGUUCCAAAACCAUACAGUUAGCAAAUUAAUGAAAACUCAAAAAAAUUCAUUAAUUUUUUCUAUCACUUGACCAAAAAAACUGGGUAAAAAUUUCAGCAUCUUAACUAAACUUCCCCAUAAUAUUUGUCAUGCUUUCAUUUCAUUUUGUUAGCCAUGGGCAUGAGCUAAAUGUCAUCACUAACUAGCUGUGGAGGAUCCUUUUACUAACAUUUGCUCCUAAGAUUCAAGUAAAUAUAUAUUUCUCAAUGGUAUUUUUAAGCCUCUCAAUCAAAUGCUGUUUGUAAUUUAAAAGCAGACUCUUAGAUCAAUGUGGAUUCCAUAUUGGAAUACUCCAAAACACAUUGAUUUACUUGGAAUAUUUUCAUAUUCUGCACAUUAGCAGAACUUUUAAUCUUGCCAGAUGUACUUUGAUCUUAAUAAUUUCACAAUCCUCUUGUCCACUGUGUGUUUGAGUGAGAGUUUGUGAUAGAUGUAUGGAUGUUAGAUUCUAAAAGCAAGUUAACAGUAAAAUUUCAUAUAAAAAAAUUACGUCCAAUGUUAUUCAAAGUUGUUUCAUUUCAACUCAAUUUAAUUUAGAAUUAGAAUCCAUUCUUCAACAUCAAACCAAACAUAAAUAUUUAUCUAACAUCGUGUUAGCUAGUAUUACAAUGUGAUUUUUCAUGAUUCAAAGUGAAUCCAAGCAUAACAAUCAGUAAUUUUCAAGGUAUUUUACAUAGAGAUAAUGUGCCCUUUCUUCUGUAUUCAUUCAUUUUCUUAGCAGUUACUAUUGUACAUCCUGGAUGGAACAUUGAAAAAAAGGUGAACAUUACUCAUGCUGCAUCUAAAUCUUUCUGCUUUCACACAAACGGAAUAUGUCAUCAUACUCAAGGCCUCUCUAGCAUUAGUUGUUCAUUCAACUAUCAAAGUAAACAACAACCAUCUCCUAGAUCUUCCCUUUCUGAAUGGAAAGAGAAUAUGGUUUGUGAGAUGAUUCAGAAAGACUCUAGCAUUGCCUCAAUAAAUGCCAAUCGUUUUUUUAUAUCUUUUUCCUAUCAGAAGCACACUUAUGAUGAUACUACUAACAUAUAUUCUUUAUUAUUGAUUCAAAUCUAUUGGAAAUCAGAAAAUUUAGUUAAUCAAACUUUCUAUUUAGUUAGUCUCAGUACUCCGGAUUUUAUAAACACUAACCAAUAAUAUAAAAUGUGUCGCUAUCAAUUCUCUAUCCUCGUUUAUAAAACGAUUUCCGCAGAAGGAUCCCAUGUUCAUGAUGGAGGUAUAGUUGGAAUUUAUUGUUACCUUCUUGCAGUAAUUUUGUGUUGCAGUUAUUUAUUUGAUCCUGGGGCUCGGUUGUGGGGGCUUCAAUGAACAGUGCUUGGACUGUAGAUUCUGUUUCACCAACCUUCAAAAAUAUCAAUCUCCUCCAACUUCCUCACCAGCCAGGAUCAUCAGGAAACAAACAGGAAAUGAAGUGACUUUCACAAAAACAUGCCCUUGAACUUGAUCUCAAUCUAUCAUCACAGGGAACAAAAAAACACCCUGAUAAAAAAAGAAAAUCUCAAAUAAAUAUAAAAAACCAGGUUGAAGAGAAAAAAUAAAACAAAAUUCAACACAAUCACCUGACCUGACACCUGCUUUGCUCAUUUUAGGAGUGAAAAUCAGUAAACCACAGUGUUACACACUCCAUCCCUCUCAAAAAUGAAAAUAAAAGCUCUUCCAGAAAAAGAAAAGGUGCUGAGCUAGAACUGCAAAUCCAUGUUUUUAUCACCAAGUUCAUACUCCAUCCGAGUAUUAAAUUAUAUUUCAUUUUCUUUACAGAAACAGUAGGAUGAUCCCUUGAUUAUGGAUUGGGACAGGUAUCAUAACAAAAUGAGGAAUUAAAUAUAUAUCAUCAUAUCAGUAAUCCAUAUAUGGUAAAGAAGUAGAAAAACACAAAAUAGAAAAUGUAAGAGUUUGCAAUCUAGAAAUGAAAUAUCAGUAUUAUAUGCACAUACCUAAAUAUAGAGAGAGUUGAGGAGGAUUGAGAGUGAGUUUGUGAGUAGAGAGACAGAAACAGAGAGGUAAGGUAAGAGCUGAAAAUUGGAAUUGGAAUUGGAAUUAGAAGGGUUGAUGCAAAGCAAAGGAAACCAAAGUGUGAGAUUAGAUUAGAAAAUAGUAGAGAAAGAGAGAGAGAGA